GAUGAACGCUGGCGGCGUGCCUAAUACAUGCAAGUAGAACGCUGAAGGAGGAGCUUGCUCUUCUGGAUGAGUUGCGAACGGGUGAGUAACGCGUAGGUAACCUGCCUGGUAGCGGGGGAUAACUCUUGGAAACGCUAGCUAAUACCGCAUGACAACAGUUAUUGCAUGAUAACUGUUUAUAAGGGGCAACUGCUCCACUACCAGAUGGACCUGCGUUGUAUUAGCUAGUUGGUGAGGUAACGGCUCACCAAGGCGACGAUACAUAGCCGACCUGGGAGGGGUAUCGGCCACACUGGGACUGAGACACGGCCCAGACUCCUACGGGAGGCAGCAGUAGGGGAUCUUCGGCAAUUGACGGAAGGCUGACCGGACAACGCCGCGGGAGGUAAGAAGGUUUUCGGAUCGUAAAGCUCUGUUGUAAGGGAAGAACGAGUGUGGGAGUGGAAAGUGCACACUGUGACGGUAUCUUACCAGAAAGGGACGGCUAACUACGUG
This 495-nucleotide ribosomal RNA is filed under the name uncultured bacterium. RNAcentral describes it as "partial 16S ribosomal RNA". It matches the Rfam family "Bacterial small subunit ribosomal RNA", at positions 28 to 507 of the family's 1533-position model. The record is from RNAcentral.